RNAcentral lists this ribosomal RNA (492 nucleotides) under uncultured bacterium. RNAcentral describes it as "partial 16S ribosomal RNA". It matches the Rfam family "Bacterial small subunit ribosomal RNA", at positions 29 to 507 of the family's 1533-position model. The record is from RNAcentral.
AGUGAACGCUGGCGGUAGGCCUAACACAUGCAAGUCGAACGGCAGGACAGUAAGAGCUUGCUCUUACGGGUGGCGAGUGGCGGACGGGUGAGGAGUACAUCGGAAUCUACAUUUUCGGGGGGGUUAACGUAGGGAAAGUUACGCUAAUACCGCAUAUGACCUACGGGUGAAAGCAGGGGAUCUUCGGACCUUGUGCGAUUGAAUGAGCCGAUGUCGGAUUAGCUAGUUGGCGGGGUAAAGGCCCACCAAGGCGACGAUCGGUAGCUGGUCUGAGAGGAUGGUGAGCCGCAUUAGAACUGAGACACGGUCAUGACUCCUGCGGGAGGCAGCAGUUGGGAAUGUUGGACAGUAGGCGCAAGUCUGACACAGCCAUACCGCGUCGGUGAAGAAGGCCUUCGGGUUGUAAAGCCCUUCUGUUGGGAAUGAAACGCAGCAGGCUAAUACGCCGCUGGUCUGACGGUACCCAAAGAAUAAGCACCGGCUAACUUCGUG